GAUGAAGAACGUAGCGAAAUGCGAUAAGUAAUGCGAAUUGCAGAAUUCAGUGAGUCAUCGAAUCUUUGAACGCACAUUGCGCCCCUUGGUAUUCCGAAGGGCAUGCCUGUUCGAGCGUCAUUAUCACCCCUCAAGCCCUCGGCUUGGUGUUGGACGGUUUGGUGGAGGCCCCCUCGGGGGCUCCUGCCCCUCCCAAAGACAAUGACGGCGGCCUCGUUGGACCCCCGGUACACUGAGUUCUUCACGGGACACGUAUCGGACACAUGGGUUUACGGGACACGGUCUGCCUCCCCUCAGGGAGAAUCUUUCUAAGGUUGACCUCGGAUCAGGUAGGGAUACCCGCUGAACUUAAGCAUAUCAAUAAGCGGAGGA
Molecule: unclassified non-coding RNA, 372 nt
Filed under: soil metagenome
Description: partial contains 5.8S ribosomal RNA, internal transcribed spacer 2, and large subunit ribosomal RNA
Rfam family: 5.8S ribosomal RNA (bases 1-120)
Source: RNAcentral